Molecule: long non-coding RNA, 4554 nt
Filed under: Marmota monax (woodchuck)
Lineage: Eukaryota; Metazoa; Chordata; Mammalia; Rodentia; Sciuridae
Source: RNAcentral
UGGCUGAUGGCUUAAGUGAAACCUGAGAGUCCGCCAGCCAGAACCAGCCAGUCAGGCCAGCCCCAGAUUCCUGGCCCACAGAAGCUGUGGAACACAAACGUUUCUUGCUUUAAGCCAUGAGGUUGUGGCAUUGUUUAUUGUACAGUAAGGACAGCUGUAACACAAGAAGAUGCUGCUAUGACCAUGCCAUUGACGGAUGAGGAAACCCAGGCUCACUGAAGGGCCCUGGGGUGCCCCAUGGUGGAGGUAAGCCCAGGGCAGACUCAGCUCAAAGCCAGUGCUUUCAUUGCUACUCCUCAGGGCACUGGCCUGAGGCCACAGGCCAUUAAAGUCAAGGGGGACCUGGAGUAAGGAGUCACCUUGGCCAAGGUCACCCAACUGCCUUUCUGGGCAGUCCCCUGCCUGAGCCCCUGCCCCGGUGCUCUUACAUUGGAGAGUGGAUUUAGCAUGGGGCAGGCAGCCCUGUUUCCAUAGCAAUGGAAAACUGCACCUUGACUGUGGAGCCAGGCUUUCAAGUGACCCCCUAGCCCAGCGGCCAGGGCCCUGAGGCCAGGUCUGGCUUUGUUCACUCACCUGGGAUGUGCAGCUGCUGCCAAAUGUGUAUGUGUGUGGGGCUCAACCAGGAGACAAGGCAGACAGGGGUGGGGAAGCAAGCAGCGUGGAGGCCUGUGUGGAAGGACCCUGCCACUGUCCUCUGGCCUGCCAUCUCCCAGCAGAUGGAACCUCCUAAUUUCCUAAGAGUACAAGUCUGCCCACCUGAACGCCAGGCCUCACUCCCUCCAUGGCUCCCCAGUGCCCUUGGGAGAAAGGUGUAUUUCCCACCAGGCCCCACGGUGCUUCUUCAUAAGGAUGCCUCUGCCCUGUAUUCCAGACUCCUUAGGAAUUCGCCCCUUCUUGCCUCUGUCCCAUCUCCUGCCGGUGUUCCCUCCUUCUGGGCCUCACUACUAUUCUCAGUUCCUGAACUUCCCCAUCAAAGCCCUGAGCACACAGCAGGCACUCAAUAAAUACUCAGCAGGUGAGUGAACAGUUGCCACACUGCCCUUAGCUCAGCUGUGUACUCCCCUCUGCCCCUGAAUCAUGCUCUCAGCCAUUUUUAUUUUGAAAUAGGGCUGGCUAAGUUGCCCAGGCAGUCUGGAACUUGUGAUCCUCCUGCUUCAGCCUCCCCUGAGUCUCUGGGAUUCAGGACACCAUGCCCUGCCUUCUUCCUGACUUUCCAGUUUCUCAAGAGCUGAGAACUCAGGACUCAAGGAAACGCUCCUUGGGAGUUCAGAUUUUACAAUCAUUUUGAACUUUUGCAACUGCUUUGUGGGGACAGUGUCGUUGCUAUCACCCCCUUUGCAGCUGGGGAAGUAAGGGAUUGGGGCAUGCACAGUUUUGAGAGGUGCAGCUCUGAAGAGGGCCUGGGCCCACCCCAAACGUCACCCCUUUAUGGGAGCUCUGAUGGGUCUCGGCCCUCAGCCCCUGCUUCUCCCAGCUCCACGCCCCAUGACGGGUUGUCAGGGCAUCUCGAGGGUUGGAGUGACAGUUCUACUAGCUGGGGUGGGGAAACUUGGUCACUUAAUUCCCACUGUGGGGACAGGAGGAAGAAGUGGGGUGAGUGGAAGGUUUUCAGGAGGCGGGGGUGGGGGGCAGCUUGCCUGGAGAUGCCAUGUGGCUUUGGCUCAUGGGUGAGUCAUGUUUAGUGCCACUUCAGGGCUCUCUCAAUAUUACUGGUCACACACAAAACCCAUUCUGCAGCCUGUCUGUGGACAGAAGGAACCUGCCCACUGACAGUGUCAGCUACUGGACUCCCACUCCACAUGUCUUACGUGCUGAGGCUCAUUCCUCAGAAUGACCCUGAGUCAGUUGCUGUGAGUUGCCCAUUUUACAGGUGAGGAAACCUGAGGCCCUGGUCACACACCGGGGAAGAGUCUGAGGUUGCUUACCCCCAGUUAGUCCCUCUUGGCAUCUUAUUGGGAGGCUGGGGCACUGACUGCCCCACACUCCCCUGAAGUGGAAACUGCUUACCAGCUGGCUGGUCUGAAGCCCAGAUGCGGGGACAGGGUACGACCUUGACUUCUGUACCAGGCCCCAGAGUUUAAGCAACCAGUUUCCAUUCUGCUGCACAAGUGGGAAAAAUCGGGGCUGGGGACAUAGCUCAGUUGGUAGAGUGUUUCCCUCGCAUGCAUCAGGCCCUAGGUUCAAUCCCCAGCACCACAAAAAAACAAAACAAACAAACAAACAAACAAACAAAAAAAACCCACAAAACAAGUGGGAAAAAUCCUUCCCUCUUUCUUCAGGGCAGUUGGAGCCCAAAGCACAGUCGUCAACCCAGAUGCCACACGGCCCAGGUGGAGAUAAGUCAAGGGCCUUGUGCUGUCUAGGGAGGGCCGCUCCUCAGCUGGCUGUUGUCACCUUAGAAUGUGGCCUAGUGUGGCCGAUACCAGGGUUUUCAAGAGAAGCUGUACUUGCCUGUCUCCUCAGGAUGCUCUACACCUGUGGAGUAACUUCCUGGGUGUGGCCACGGUUCAGGCUGGGAAAUGGGGUCACCCCUGCUGAAGCAACACCCUCUGAGAGCUGGCCUGACACCCGGCUUUCUGAAGGAUCUGGAAACACAUCUUGUCUACAUGGGAAGAUGAUGGACGAGCUGCUAUUCAUGACUCCUAAGUAACAUGCCCCUGGAUUUUAAUGUUGGCACCCAACUCAAAAACUAGUUUUUAAAAAUAGAGUUUUGCAAAAUACCUCUGAGGACCUGUUCAGACCCCCAGUUUGCUCCCCCAGCUCCAGAACAAAGAAGCAGGACACCCAGAAUUAUUAUACAAUUCUGUAUUUAGCGACUUGUUUACAGAAUGUGUUCCUUUUUUUUAAAAUUUUAAACAAAGUUCAUCAAUCUCUCAUAGAAACAGUUUUGUGGGGUUUUGUGGGUGGUGUUGUUUUACCGUUGUAGGACGUGAACCAGACGGAGCUGUUCACGGGUCUGCCAGCUUUGAGUACGACAGGAUUUCUGUGUUCAGAAGACUAAGUGCUUAAUCAAAUCCCGUCACACUAAAGCCAACGUGAGUUCUCUAAGGAUCGGAGUCCUGGAUUUCAACGUUGCGUUGGUUCCGAGAGUAAAAAGUGGUGUGUUUCCCCAGUGUCUAGUGCAACAGGGCGGUGGUGGCUACACGAUGUUUCAUUUGUCCCAGAUUGGAGUAGUCUGAAAACUGGUCUCUGUUUCCUAUUGUCAAAAUAUAAAAAUACCUUCAUCUGGAUAAAAAUGUAUACAGUGGAAAACUCUUCAGUGCAUAGCCUGGGUGUGCGGAGGGCGAGGCCCUCCUCCGGGGGUGUGUCAACGUUGACUGGUGUGGGACUGCAGCCUGGGCUGGGUGCACUAGAGUUGGGAUUUCUGAGACGGUCUUCAGUUGUCCCUUUCUGGUCGCUGGGUUUUGCCUGUGGUUUCAAAAUACUCACCACAUGUGUCUGUCAUCUCUCCCCUUGGCACUGACUUGGCACCAGUUACAGUCACCUUUUUGUUACCAUUCCGGGGAGUCACCCAAUUUAGCCUUCCCACAGUUUGGAAAAUGUAAAGAAGUAAAAUGGAGAGCUUAACCACCACCCUGGAGGCUGCUCCAUUCUGAUGGGGAGCUCUCUCCCUAGACACACGACGAAAUGUGCAGGAAAAGCUCCCCUGAGUUGGGGCUGAGUCUUGGCUCCCAGCAGUCAUGCGCUGGAAAGAAGGGUGGCCUUGGAGACUGGGGUACGUGGACAUGCUGUUCUGAAUUCAGCCUUCCAGAUGCAGCACCGGGGUCAGCUUGAGAAGGUGAUGAUCAGGUCUGCAGGGGUCUCUAGUGGGUGAAUCUGCUUUGGCACUGGCUGCUGAGCUUCACUGCACGUGGGAUAACCGCACUGUCCCUCUGAGAGCACGAGGAGGGAGGAUGCAGCCAGUCUUCUCUGCAAUGCCCAGUGGGGAAACUUGCUGGGUGUGGCCAUGAUUCAGGCUUGGAAUAGGGGUCACUCUGGCUGAAGCACCAUCUCAGAGCACCUGCCCCGACACCCAGCUUUCUGAAGGAUCUGGAAACACAUCUUUUCUACAGAUGGGCAUUGGGUUCCUAACCAGGGAGUGUAACAGUUUGCUUUGUACCAUGCCACCUUUAGUCUAGGACGCUGGGCCACGGCCCACAUCUCUAUGACAUUUACAACAGCACGGGACACUCUGUGUUAUCAAGGUUGCAGAACAGACCACCAGAAUGGAACACAUCCUCAACGGCAUCGAGGUGUUCGUUUAGAGUCUUUUGGACUUUCUCCCUUCAGCACGGCUUUUGGACAGGCAAUGGCAAUGUGCUGUGUCUCACAGACAGGCGUGGGGAAAACCGUGGUUCAAAGGUUAUUUAAAUUUGGUCAGUCUUAUAGUGUAUACUGAUGGCUUUGAACAAUUGUCUUCUUUUAAUCUCAUCUAGUGGCAAAAAAACGACACAACUUCCAUGUAUACUUCGCAACAGUUGUGACAGCAUCCUGAUUUCAUAACUCUCUGUAAUAUCAAAACAGCAUCGGCUGGGAAUAAAUUCCAAAGGAUCCUUUAUUAAAAUAUCUAAAAGA